GACGUAGGAGGCGAGCGUUGUCCGGAUUCAUUGGGCGUAAAGAGCGCGCAGGCGGCUUGGUAAGUCGGAUGUGAAAUCCCGAGGCUCAACCUCGGGUCUGCAUCCGAUACUGCCCGGCUAGAGGUAGGUAGGGGAGAUCGGAAUUCCUGGUGUAGCGGUGAAAUGCGCAGAUAUCAGGAGGAACACCGGUGGCGAAGGCGGUCUGCUGGCGAGUACCUGACACUGAGGCACGAAGGCCAGGGGAGCAAACGGG
This 253-nucleotide ribosomal RNA is filed under the name uncultured bacterium. Its description in RNAcentral is "partial 16S ribosomal RNA". It matches the Rfam family "Bacterial small subunit ribosomal RNA", at positions 524 to 776 of the family's 1533-position model. The record is from RNAcentral.